Molecule: non-coding RNA, 220 nt
Organism: Thioclava sp. SK-1
Lineage: Bacteria; Pseudomonadati; Pseudomonadota; Alphaproteobacteria; Rhodobacterales; Paracoccaceae
Source: Rfam
UGUAACCAAUAGAUCGAAUGGUGCCCAUGAUGCGCAAAGCGCCGGGCUUCAUUGGGAAUGGGGAAGGGUGGACCAAAUCGCGGCACCCAAAACCCCGGCCGCCCCCGCGACUGUAUGCGGAGAGUGCUACCGGAAUGCCACUGGGCCCGUAGGGUCUGGGAAGGCCGGUUCAGCACCUUGACCCGCGAGCCAGGAGACCUGCCUUCGGUGAUAUUUCAAC